CUCCCUUCUUGCUGCCGUCCAAAAGAGAUUUUAGACCUCUUUUCUCUGGUGAAUUAGAGAGUUCAGGAAGAGUGCUUCUAGAUCUAAACAAGGAAGAUUCAAAUCUGGAAGAGAAAGGAUUUACAAGAGAAAAAAAAUCCUAUCAAGAAGGUACUGCCCCAAAAAUUUACUACAGAGGAUCCUGAGCAUCUCAUCUUCAUGGAGCUAUUUCUUAACGCCUAAGCUCUGAAAAUUUUAGGCAUUAAACUAGUAGGUUCACGGCUCAUUUACAUCUCUACUAUUUUAAUUACGGCC
Molecule: long non-coding RNA, 294 nt
Filed under: Elaeis guineensis (African oil palm)
Lineage: Eukaryota; Viridiplantae; Streptophyta; Magnoliopsida; Arecales; Arecaceae
Description: long non-coding RNA (EGUI_LNC002941)
Source: RNAcentral